GACGUAGGGUGCAAGCGUUGUCCGGAUUUAUUGGGCGUAAAGAGCUCGUAGGCGGCUUGUUGCGUCGACUGUGAAAACCCGCGGCUUAACCGCGGGCUUGCAGUUGAUACGGGCAGGCUAGAGUUCGGUAGGGGAGACUGGAAUUCCCGGUGUAGCGGUGAAAUGCGCAGAUAUCGGGAAGAACACCCGUGGCGAAGGCGGUUCUCUGGGACGGUACUGACGCUGAGACGCGAAAGCGUGGGGAGCGAACAGG
RNAcentral lists this ribosomal RNA (253 nucleotides) under uncultured bacterium. RNAcentral describes it as "partial 16S ribosomal RNA". It matches the Rfam family "Bacterial small subunit ribosomal RNA", at positions 524 to 776 of the family's 1533-position model. The record is from RNAcentral.